This 707-nucleotide ribosomal RNA is filed under the name Clostridioides difficile. RNAcentral's name for it is "partial 23S ribosomal RNA". It matches the Rfam family "Bacterial large subunit ribosomal RNA", at positions 1897 to 2602 of the family's 2925-position model. The record is from RNAcentral. Lineage: Bacteria; Bacillati; Bacillota; Clostridia; Peptostreptococcales; Peptostreptococcaceae.
AAUCGAAGCAGUGAACUUAAGCCCCAGUAAACGGCGGCCGUAACUAUAACGGUCCUAAGGUAGCGAAAUUCCUUGUCGGGUAAGUUCCGACCCGCACGAAAGGCGUAACGAUUUGGGCACUGUCUCAACAACAGACUCGGUGAAAUUGUAAUUCCGGUGAAGAUGCCGGAUACCUGCGACAGGACGGAAAGACCCCAUGGAGCUUUACUGUAGCUUGACAUUGGGUCUUGGUACUACAUGUACAGGAUAGGUGGGAGGCUUUGAAACCAGGACGCCAGUUUUGGCGGAGCCAUCCUUGGGAUACCACCCUUGUAGUACUGGGACUCUAACCAUAGGCCAUGAAUCUGGUCUUGGGACACUGUCAGGUGGGCAGUUUGACUGGGGCGGUCGCCUCCCAAAAGGUAACGGAGGCGCUCAAAGGUUCUCUCAGUACGGUCGGAAAUCGUACGUAGAGUGUAAAGGCAAAAGAGAGCUUGAUUGCAAGACAUACAGGUCGAGCAAGGAUGAAAAUCGGACUUAGUGAUCCGGUGGUUCUGCGUGGAAGGGCCAUCGCUCAACGGAUAAAAGCUACCCUGGGGAUAACAGGCUUAUCUCCCCCAAGAGUCCACAUCGACGGGGAGGUUUGGCACCUCGAUGUCGGCUCAUCACAUCCUGGGGCUGUAGUAGGUCCCAAGGGUUGGGCUGUUCGCCCAUUAAAGUGGUACGCG